UACGAAGGUCCCAAGCGUUGUUCGGAAUCACUGGGCGUAAAGGGAGCGUAGGCGGCGUGGUAAGUCAGAUGUGAAAUCCCGGGGCUCAACCCCGGAACUGCAUCCGAUACUGCCAUGCUAGAGGAUUGGAGAGGUAGCUGGAAUUCUUGGUGUAGCAGUGAAAUGCGUAGAGAUCAAGAGGAACACGCGUGGCGAAAGCGAGCUACUGGACAAUUCCUGACGCUGAGGCUCGAAGGCUAGGGUAGCGAAAGGG
RNAcentral lists this ribosomal RNA (253 nucleotides) under uncultured bacterium. Its description in RNAcentral is "partial 16S ribosomal RNA". It matches the Rfam family "Bacterial small subunit ribosomal RNA", at positions 524 to 776 of the family's 1533-position model. The record is from RNAcentral.